UGGGGAAUAUUGGACAAUGGAGGAAACUCUGAUCCAGCAAUUCUGUGUGUGUGAAGAAGGUUUUAGGACUGUAAAACACUUUUAGUAGGGAAGAAAAAAAUGACGGUACCUACAGAAGAAGCAACGGCUAAAUACGUGCCAGCAGCCGCGGUAAUGCGUAUGUUGCGAGCGUUAUCCGGAAUUAUUGGGCUUAAAGGGCAUCUAGGCGGUAAGACAAGUUGAAGGUGAAAACCUGUGGCUCAACCAUAGGCUUGCCUACAAAACUGUUGAACUAGAGUACUGGAAAGGUGGGUGGAACUACACGAGUAGAGGUGAAAUUCGUAGAUAUGUGUAGGAAUGCCGAUGAUGAAGAUAACUCACUGGACAGAAACUGACGCUGAAGUGCGAAAGCUAGGGGAGCAAACAGG
This 407-nucleotide ribosomal RNA is filed under the name Verrucomicrobiota bacterium. RNAcentral describes it as "Verrucomicrobia bacterium partial 16S ribosomal RNA". It matches the Rfam family "Bacterial small subunit ribosomal RNA", at positions 355 to 776 of the family's 1533-position model. Lineage: Bacteria; Pseudomonadati; Verrucomicrobiota. The record is from RNAcentral.